UGCGUAGGCGGCUUUGCAAGUCAGAUGUGAAAUCUAUGGGCUCAACCCAUAAACUGCAUUUGAAACUGUAGAGCUUGAGUGAAGUAGAGGCAGGCGGAAUUCCCCGUGUAGCGGUGAAAUGCGUAGAGAUGGGGAGGAACACCAGUGGCGAAGGCGGCCUGCUGGGCUUUAACUGACGCUGAGGCACGAAAGCGUGGGAGCAAACA
This 206-nucleotide ribosomal RNA is filed under the name uncultured bacterium. RNAcentral describes it as "partial 16S ribosomal RNA". It matches the Rfam family "Bacterial small subunit ribosomal RNA", at positions 568 to 774 of the family's 1533-position model. The record is from RNAcentral.